CUCAAGUCCCGAAGAAGUUCUUGCCUCACUGGGUUGCAAUUGGGCCAGUUCCAAACACCUACUCAUUGGCGGCAAUUACUCAAAGCACAUCAUUUUUUUUUGGCUUGGUGUACCCUCAAAAAUUUGUAAAGUCUUCAUCUUACCCUUUUCAUCUCACUCGCUCUCUUCAUCUCUCCAUCUUCCUCUUCACCACAGUGGCACUUGUGCAGAUCCUCUCGACUGGAAUGGUGGCGGCUUCGAUCAAACCACAAUGAUGAUUUUCAAGGAGCAUUAUGGUUGCUUAAACACAAAUUGGUAUCUAUUACAUAUUGAGUAAUUCAUAAUAAAAAAAUACAUUAUGGAUUGAAUAAUCCGUAAUACAAAUAUAUUAUGAAAUGCCCAAUCUAAAACUAUAUUGUGGAGGUGACGGGUUUAUAUUCUCUUUCUUUUAUUUGAUGAAGUAGAGCGAGCUUAUAUGCUUUUCAUUUAGGGGACUUUUGGUACAAGGAUUUUUGUUUCUCAUUAAGGGAAUGGUUUUUCGCAAAAGAAGUAAGAAUCUCUAUCCACCUUUGAUUUGAUGAUAAUUGUAUCAUCCUUGCCUUUCCACCUUUGACUUUGUAAAGACAAAUAUCAUACGAAGGGGAGGGGUUGAAUUGUGAUUUAUUACAAAAGAUUAAUUCUUUUCCAGAAAACAAGAUUUUUUGUUUGUAUAGACAACUUUGUAAGAAAGACAAUUUUUUUAUCACAAGAAAACUUCAAAUGAUGAGGAAAAAUGAAUUUUUAGAAAUGCAGAUUAUCUUAUACCUUUUGAAACGCAAUUCAAAUUCAACUUCAGUUAAUCAAAUAGAAAGGGAGAAAUAAUAGAUAGACACAAAGAUUUUAUAUUGAUUCAUCUCUACCACGGAGAUUAAUUUAGUUUUUAGUAAACUACCAAGUUCUACUAAUUUUUUCACAAGUUACAAGUAUUAUGUCAUAACCACUUUUGGCUCUUACAAAUCAAACUUUAUCCCAAGUUUGAUCAACAUCCAGUAUUCUUUCUUCUAUCAAGCCAUUAGACGAAAUUUAUGAUGAAAGAUGACUCAAAGACUAACACUCAAUUGUCUUACAAACACAUAAAUUAUCUAAGCAUAUAACCUUUUUCUCUCAAGAUGUUCAAGGUGUUUUGAGAGUUUUAUAAUUUUAUAAGAAAAUAUUCAGAAAGACUUGUUGAAGAAGAAGAGUAAGAGAAAAUUAUGCGUAGAAGAUAAACUCUAUCAAUCUUCAAAAACUUAUGGUUUAUAUAAGCCUUCGACUUUAGAGAUAUGUUGUCUCAUGACGAGUAGGUGUUGCUUUUAUCUUUCGUCUAAUAAAGAAAGGAGGUCGUUGGGUGCAUUUAAUGCAUGUCUUUUCUUCAUACAGAGAGUUCUACCUUUAAAGCUUGUGUGUACAAAAGAUUGAUCACAUCUUUGUGUGAGAGCAAGUCAUGUAUAACAAAAGUUCGUAUUUCUAAUGGUAUAUCUUAUCUUGACUUCAUUUAUUUUUCAUAAAUUUCGAUAGAUCUUAAGAAAAUAUUUUUAUAGACAGAAUUUCAGACAGAGAAUAAUAAAUGAAGUAUUAAAUAUUAUACACAAUAUCAAAUUUUGAUGUUAUCUACCUAUCGUUUGAAAAUAUCAUACGCACAUCAUAUAACAUAUUCUCUUUAUAUUUGUUUACAUCUAAUUAAAAUAAUUAUGGAUCUUAAGCGGUCUUUUAGGCAGAAACGUCUUUGGACUCAAUAGACUCUCUAUCAAAGUACCACAAACAAAGUUGCACGCUGAUCUGGUGGAAGGAGGUGGCAACGCAACAGGGAGGGAAGGUGGUGGGAGAGAGGAGGAAGAAGGUUAAAAAGAAUAUUAGAGAAUUAGGAGGUGUACCAAGCAAGAAAUGGGGUGAGUUAAGUACUUUUCUUCAUUGGCCCAUAUGCAGUAAGACGAGGCCCAGUAGCCCAUAGCCACGAACAACUAACUCCAAACCCUAACUCAAUAAAUUCCCCCAAUCCCCAAACCCUAAUCCU
This 2011-nucleotide long non-coding RNA is filed under the name Glycine max (soybean). RNAcentral describes it as "long non-coding RNA (GMAX_LNC000010)". Lineage: Eukaryota; Viridiplantae; Streptophyta; Magnoliopsida; Fabales; Fabaceae. The record is from RNAcentral.